CCAACGGGUCUUCAGGCCCCAAAAUGAUGAAGUUUUGACUCAAAAUUUACGACAAAAAGAGACCCAUUUUUGAAAUUUGAAACAACAACACGACGACUUCUGCCGUAACAACCAUUCGCCGGUAAUCCCCCCCCCCCCCCCCCCCCCCCCAAUAGUUUCCGGCCACGAGGCCAUUUAUUCCCGACUGCGUCUUCCUUCCGUCAAAGAAUAAAAUCAUCUUAUCAACCCAACCCAGAAUGUUUCCACGGGACCAUCAUUGAUUUGUGUGCGACAUUUGUCUUUCAGCUCAAUUCUUGAGUACUUCGUUGGGCUCAUCUUCUCGUUGGCGCCGAUUGGGCCAUACGACGCGCCACGUGGCCAACUCAUUCAUCGGUCUGACUGCCCCAUCACAACCCUUAAUCUCGAAUUCGCAGACACUUGUCUCUCAUUUUGUCUUUUCUCUUUCUCUCAUGCGAAUCUCCUUGUGCGUAACAGCCGAAUCACGCCCCUUCAAUUCCUCCAUUCCGAUUCGCAUUUCCAUAAAACCCUAAAUACGACGUACUCUUCUUAAUCAAUUUUUUAAUUCCUUUUAGGUCUUUGUUAGAAUUCGUCUUGUGUUCCACCAAAAAACCCAUCAUCCGGUUGAAUUUCUUUAUCUGUUUCAAGGGGUAUCUGUUAAAGAUUCGGAAAUGGAGGCGUUGUAUGAGGAACAACCACCGCCUUUUGAGAUGGGUGUGGUUGUUUCUAAAAGGGUUUUUGACCAAAUUGGUGAAGGUUAUGAUUGUGUUCAAGUUCUUGUGGAUCAGUUUCAGAAAAUUGGCUUAAUUGUUGAUAGAGUUGCUGGCCUUAAUGAUGAAUUCCUCAAGAUUGCAGCACCUGUUGAAGUUUUAGGGAAGGCGGCCGCUGAAUUACGGUUGAAAAAAAGAACUCAAAUAGGGGUGGAUUUACAGUUUGAAUGGGAUGAGGCUGAUGCGUUUAUCAAACAAUCUGACGGGUCGUUGUUCAGUUGGUGUGAGCGUUUUCGUUGUUAUAAGCACAUGAUAUAUGGAAUCGUCAACAAGAGCGAUUCGGCUAUCAUUUUAAAGUCCGACUGUAGAGAAAUUAGAUGGCAGCCUGGGAAGCGUCUUUUGUGGAAGUUGGAAAAAGAAGCCAUUGUUAAAGAAGUCUUUCCUAUCCAUGAUGAGAUAAAGAGGAAGCGGCUUUUGAAAUGUUGGGCUCUGAGCUGGCGGGACCUUACACAUCAACCCCUUGACGAAAUCUAUGCUUACUAUGGAGCGAAGAUUGCAAUAUAUUUUGCUUUCAUUGGGAUGUACACAAAGUGGUUGCUUUUCCCGGCUGCAUUUGGAAUCUUCGUGCAAUUGGUUGAUUUUGGAUCUUUGCAAUUCUUGGUACUUCCCUUUUUCUUUAUAUGCAUAAUUUCAUGGGCUGUCUUCUUUCUCCAAUUCUGGAAGCGGAAAAACUCUACCCUUUUGGCCAGGUGGCAUAUUUGUUAUUCAGUUGGAGCAGCUUAUAAAUAUAUGGAUACCGAAUGGAGUUCGUUUCAUUCGUCUGUAGGAUCGAUAAAGUUCGGGGCUGAUAAAACCGAGAAAGAGAAGUUCCAAAGAGAGGAAUGGUUUGGUCAUAUGCUACGAUUCAGAAACGAUGCGAUUAUUAUAUUGAGUAUUAUAUGCCUCCAGCUUCCUUUUGAACUGGCGUAUGCACAUUUGUACGAGAUCAUUGGAUCCGAUAUCAUAAAGUUUGGGUUAACGGCAAUUUACCUAUUUGCCAUUCAAUAUUUCACACAAAUUGGGGGGAAGGUGUCGGUGAAGUUAAUCAAGCGUGAAAAAAACGAGAGCUCUGAAUAUAGGGCUAACAGUUUGAUUUACAAGGUGUUUGGGUUAUACUUUAUGCAGUCAUACAUUGGACUACUAUAUCAUGCAAUUCUGCAUCGCAACUUCAUGACUCUUCGUCAAGUCAUAACUCAACGUCUCAUCAUAUCAGAGGUGCUAGAAAAUCUGAUGGAAAACUCUCUACCCUACAUCAAAUACAGCUACAGAAAAUACAGAGCUGUUCGAAACAAGAGAAAAAGGGAAAAGGGAAUGGCAGCCAGAAAAUCUUAUUUUAAUUCUAGGGUUGAGAAGGAGUAUUUUAAGCCUAUAUAUUCCGCCAGUGUUGGUGAUGAACUCGAAGAUGGGCUCUUUGAUGAAUUUCUUGAGCUGGCUUUGCAGUUUGGAAUGAUUAUGAUGUUUGCUUGUGCUUUUCCUCCUGCGUUUGCUUUUGCUGCGUUGAACAAUGUUACAGAAAUUAGAGCAGACGCGUUAAAGAUUCUUGCCAUGUAUAGAAGACCAGUUCCUCGAGUUGCUGCAACAAUCGGGGCCUGGCUUAACAUAUUUCAGUUGUAUCAAUAUGCACCAACUGCAUACUUCUAGUAUGUUUAUACGAUCGGGAGGGGAAUUGGAAUAUAUCUCCUGGUCUUGCAGCCAUCCUCAUCAUGGAACAUGUACUCCUUCUCAUCAAAUUUGGCUUCUCAAAGAUCGUCCCCGAGGAACCUGAUUGGGUAAAAGCAAACCGAAUGAAGAAUGCAACUCAAGCACAAAACAUGUGCUCUAAGCAGCUUUUGAGGAACAUUUCGGGCCGAACACUCGUUACAUGUACACCAAAUGCUGAUUAAAUGUACAUUAAUGUUAGAAUCAGUAUAUACCACCUUAGAUUAGUCCCUUUUUGAGGUUAUAAUUUUUGUAUGUAAGAAAAAAUCUCAGUCUUUAGAUUGUAGCAUAUAGUAUAUUUCCUGUCAUUUAGUUGUUUAAACUUUCUUUAUUGAAUUAUAGAGUACAUUGAUCCAA
This is an RNA transcript of Helianthus annuus (common sunflower), 2801 nucleotides long. It is a transcript of the gene named anoctamin-like protein At1g73020, with no coding region annotated. The transcript is spliced from 16 exons. The record is from RefSeq and is a predicted model, not a curated record. NCBI's taxonomy places the organism in Eukaryota, Viridiplantae, Streptophyta, Magnoliopsida, Asterales, Asteraceae.